CCCAUAUAUUAUUUCUUUUGUUUCUUCUGUUUGAUAACUUGUAAAAGCUUACGGCUUUUCUGAUGUUUGGUUACCCUUCUUCUCCCCUUUCCCCUUCCCCUUCCCCUUCCCUUUCCCCUUCCCCUUGGGUUGAAAUACAGUUUGGUCAAGGACCUCUUCCGGUUCCUCCUUCAUCCAGGCAAAUCUACCAUGAAUUCUUCACUGGGUCUCAGGCAAUAAUUGAAUACCAAGUUGAUCUUACUAGAUGGAAAGCUAACUAGAAAGCAGCCAUGGAUGUUGAUUCACAACCAACUAUGGAGGAAACCAUAUUGGUUGGUGAUGACCUAAUGAUGGGGCCACCAUCUCCUGUCAUCCCACAAGAAAUCACAUCUCAUGUGCUUGAAGGUGUCGAGUUAUGUGAUGGGAUCUUACGGAAUUUAUUUUUGUGUAAGUUCUAUGUUUUUAACUUAACAAUCUUUAUGUAAAAG
Molecule: long non-coding RNA, 467 nt
Organism: Gossypium raimondii (Peruvian cotton)
Lineage: Eukaryota; Viridiplantae; Streptophyta; Magnoliopsida; Malvales; Malvaceae
Exons: 3
Source: RefSeq, a predicted model, not a curated record